GCCAUCAAUACUAUUUAAAGAGGAAUCAAUCUUGUUCUCUUCAAUCGCUCAUCUACCUUGAUCUCCUGAAGGACAGGAAGACAGAUCUCAUCAAGAUGAAGACCUUUCUGCUGGCUCUCGGAUUCGCUCUGAUCUGUGCUUCAUCCGCGUUUGACCCAGCAAAGAUCACUGGGGAAUGGCGCACCAUUCUCAAGGGAGCUGAUGACGUAGAGAAGAUUAGUGAAUAUGCAGAUAUGAGAAUCCGUUUACGUCACCUUGAAUGUAUUGAUGAUUGUGAGAAGUUAGCCAUCACCUUCUACGUUAAGUAAGUGAAAAUUGUCCCCAUGUUAAGGAACUAAAGAGUUCACUUC
RNAcentral lists this long non-coding RNA (350 nucleotides) under Ictidomys tridecemlineatus (thirteen-lined ground squirrel). RNAcentral describes it as "lncRNA (ENSSTOG00000025528.2)". Lineage: Eukaryota; Metazoa; Chordata; Mammalia; Rodentia; Sciuridae. The record is from RNAcentral.